This is a long non-coding RNA of Pogoniulus pusillus (Red-fronted tinkerbird), 616 nucleotides long. RefSeq lists it as uncharacterized. The record is from RefSeq and is a predicted model, not a curated record. Lineage: Eukaryota; Metazoa; Chordata; Aves; Piciformes; Lybiidae. The transcript is spliced from 3 exons.
CCCAAGUGGGCAGAGGGAUCCUCCUCCUGUCAUCACUGGCAGUCAUCCCAAGAGCUUGUGAGAAUACUCAAGAUCUGGAUGCGGGCAGCUGAGUGAAGCAAUCGCAUUACCACCUCUUCUUGAGCUGCUGUUCAUCAGCUGAGCCCUGCAAACUCAUUGCUCUCUCACAACCCAAAGAGUCAUUACAAGGACAAGCAAGGAGCACAAGAGAAGUGUUUCUCUGUUGUCACAGAGGCUGGAGGCACUGCCAAGAGGAGCUCUCCUGAAAAGCUGGUUCAUGCUUUGCAGCACUCAUCUCUCCUGGGGGCAAGAGCAAAGAAAGGCAGAAGGGACAACCCCCUUUGUGUCACGGACUAAGCAAAAACCUGUGCUCAUAUAGGUGCAAGGCUGGCUCAGGUAGAAAUUCUGCUCCACCACAUUUAUUCCAGAAUCACAGCAGACACUGGCACAGUCAGUUUGAUCAACGAUGAUCAACUCCACUGGGACAACUGGAAGGCUUCAGACUGGCUCUAAUGUGGUUUUGGACCAGCCUUUAAUCUGCAGGAGUUGUUUAUUUCCUAUGCUACACAUCUCCUCUGGGGAACAGUCUGUCCUUUCUGAACAGGAAACACUGUUG